GAUGAAGAACGUAGCGAAAUGCGAUAAGUAAUGUGAAUUGCAGAAUUCAGUGAAUCAUCGAAUCUUUGAACGCACAUUGCGCCCGCCAGUAUUCUGGCGGGCAUGCCUGUUCGAGCGUCAUUUCAACCAUCAAGCCCCCGGCUUGUGUUGGAGACCUGCGGCUGCCGCAGGCCCUGAAAACCAGUGGCGGGCUCGCUAGUCACUCCGAGCGUAGUAAUACAUCUCGCUCAGGGCGUGCUGCGGGUUCCGGCCGUUAAAAAAGCCUUAUUUACCCAAGGUUGACCUCGGAUCAGGUAGGAAGACCCGCUGAACUUAAGCAUAUCAAUAAGCGGAGGA
This 336-nucleotide unclassified non-coding RNA is filed under the name soil metagenome. RNAcentral describes it as "partial contains 5.8S ribosomal RNA, internal transcribed spacer 2, and large subunit ribosomal RNA". The stretch from base 1 to 120 matches the Rfam family "5.8S ribosomal RNA", at positions 35 to 154 of the family's 154-position model. The record is from RNAcentral.